Molecule: long non-coding RNA, 828 nt
Filed under: Homo sapiens (human)
Lineage: Eukaryota; Metazoa; Chordata; Mammalia; Primates; Hominidae
Description: non-protein coding lnc-HCFC1R1-1:4
Source: RNAcentral
GCUGGUGCGUACCGUCCCGAACCCUAGGAGCCGAGAUCCCACCCGCAGGACCCCAAAACCCAAUGAUCCUGCAGCAGCCCUUGCAGCGAGGCCCCCAGGGAGGGGCCCAGCGCCUCCCGCGGGCCGCCUUGGGGGUGACUUGGGGCCUGGACGCCAGCUCCCCUCUCCGAGGAGCUGUGCCCAUGAGCACCAAGCGGCGCCUGGAGGAGGAGCAGUGAGUUUGGGGGCAGGGAGGGACUCCCAACAAGAUCUCUGUCACCUCUGGUCCCCAACAGGCUGCCUCCUGUGUCAGUAUCCCAGCCUGCCUCUCUGCCAUCUCUCCCCAGGGAGCCUCUGCGCAAGCAGUUUCUGUCUGAGGAGAACAUGGCCACCCACUUCUCUCAACUCAGCCUGCACAAUGACCACCCCUACUGCAGCCCCCCCAUGACCUUCUCCCCAGCCCUGCCCCCACUCAGGAGCCCUUGCUCUGAGCUGCUUCUCUGGCGCUAUCCUGGCAGCCUCAUCCCUGAGGCCCUCCGUCUGCUGAGGCUGGGGGACACCCCCAGUCCCCCCUACCCUGCAACCCCAGCUGGGGACAUAAUGGAGCUCUGAGUGCUGGUGGACAGUGCCCCUCCCACCUUCCUUCUUCCCCACAACAGAAGAGACCAGCGACUCCCGCAAAGGGACAAGGUUCCUCCCUCUCCUGCAGAGUAGGCAUCUGGGCACCAAGACCUUCCCUCAACAGAGGACACUGAGCCCAACGGAGUUCUGGGAUGGGAGGGGUGGGAGCAUGGGAAGGGAGGCAUCCCACCCCCAAGAAGAACUGAAUAAAGAUUGCUGAGCAAAGGA